GGGGUUUUUUGAUAUGCUGAAUCUAAAAAUGUACUUAGAUUUUUGAUUAUUGGCCCAGUUUUCAAGUUGGUCCAAAUCGGGUCCAAAUUAAAUUUUGUUUGAUUUCAUCAAAAAUUGAAUAAUUGGGGUUCUUUGAUAUGCCAAAUCUUACUGUGUAUGCAGAUUCUUAAUUUUUAGUCCCGUUUUCAAAUUGGUCUACAUUAAAGUCCAAAGGGUCCAAAAUUAAACUAAGUUUGAUUUUAACAAAAAUUGAAUUCUUGAGCUUUUUUGAUAUGCUGAAACUAAACAUGUACUUAGAUUUUUGAUUAUGGGCCCAGGUUUCAAGUUGGUUCAAAUCAGGAUCCAAAAUUAUUAUAUUAAGUAUUGUGCAAUAGCAAGAAAUUUUCAAUUGCACAGUAUUCAGCAAUAGCAAGAAAUCUUCAAUUGCACAGUAUUGUGCAAUAGCAAGAAAUUUUCAAUUGCACAGUAUUGCACAAUAGCAAGAAAUCUUAAUUGCACAGUAUUGUGCAAUAGCAAAUAUUUUCAAUUGCACAGUAUUGCGCAAUAGCAAGAAUUCAUUCUGUGUCAGAAACCUAUGCUGUGUCAACUAUUUAAUCACAAUCCAAAUUUAGAGCUGAAUCCAGCUUGAAUGUUGUGUCCAUACUUGCCCCAACCGUUCAGGGUUCAACCUCUGCGUCAUAUAAAGCUGCGCCCUACGGAGCAUCUGGUUUUAUAGUCUAUAGAACAAUAAUGUCAUCAGUGCCUUCCAUACUUAAUCAUAUCAAUCAUGUAAUUAUUGCAUUUGUUUAAUUAAUAUCCAUAUGCAUACUAAAUAUAAAGUGAAAUCCAACAUCCAUAUUAAUCCCAGGCUACAAAAUGAUUCAAAUAUUUCAGUUUAUACUAAUUAAAAACAGUAUUUUCAAAUAAUCAUACAUCUUUAAAUUGAAUAACAUAAGGUUUAUACACACGUUUUUUGUAACAAGCUGUUUAAGCUUUGCAAAACUAUCUUAGAUAUACUGAAGAUAUCUUGUAGUCUUUGAGUUUCUAACUCAUUAAAGAAUGUAGAAUGGAUAAAGAUUCAGGUAGAUUCUCUAAAAAGGAAAAGAUAAAAGGAUGAGACUCCUUGAAUCUUCUAGUCACUGGAAUUCCUGCUGUUUUUAUUUCGAUAAAUUAUAUACACAUUAUUUUAUUUAGGGUUGUUAAUUGAGUGUUACUUUAGGUUACUAAUUUAAAUCUUGAAGAUUUUUUUAUGAUUUUACAGUGCUCCUUUGGUUUAUUGCCUGCUCCAAACAGCCAAACUCCUAUAUCCCCACAAAAUUGCUCAGUCCUGUUUUUUCUUAUAUUAAAAUUCCAUUGUUUAAAAAAAAACAUAUUAACAUAUUGCCAAUAAUUGGAUGAUGUUAUAAACUAAUGGGACAUAAACAGUGAAGUUUUCCUCUCUUUCAAACCAAAUCACUUGGUGCUUUACAGUUGAUAACUUUUUACUGUUUUUAAAACAAUGAAUAUUAAUACUUGGGCAUCAAAAUGUCUACAUCAGAAAUAAAAAUCCAUUAUUAGUAAACAGAUUAAUGACAAUUGGUACGAUAACUGAUUAUGUUGCCGACAAAAUAACUUUUGGCAUAGUUCAGUCAAGUGCAUGCAUGGAUAAAACUUGUUUGCACAAAAGAAGUAUAUUUUUCUAAUUUUCGUUAGAAAAGUAUUUCAAGAUGUAUUGUCUGUUAGAAAAAAAGUGAGUGUAGUACAAAUCAUGCAGUUGUCUUAAUACAUGUACAAAUAUACAUUUAAUCCUUGCAGUUCAGUAGUGUUUGUUUUAUCAACUUACCACUCAUUCAUAGAUCUUUUUUUAUAUAAAAAUAAAUUCUAGAUAUAUACCACCACCCUUACAUAUUGGCAGUAUUCUAAGAAAUGUAAAUCAACACUAUAUGCUGUAAACAAUUUUCAGUGGCGGAUCCAGAAAUUUUCAUAAGUGGGGGCCCACUGACUGACCUAAGAGGGGGCCCACUCCAGUCACGCUUCAGUGAUUCCCUAUAUAAGCAACCAAAUUUUUUCCCAAAAAGGGGGGGCCCGGGCCCCCUGGGCCCCCCCUCUAAAUCCGCCUUUGAUUUUGGUUUGGAAAUAAUGCUAAACUUUAUAAAAUCAAGUACAAGACCAAAGAUUGUAUGCCUUUAUUAUUUAUGCAUACUUAUUAUGUGCUGAAUAAUUUUUUUUGAAUAAUUAUUAAUAUGUGUCUUUUUCUGUUUCAUUUAUUUGAAUUUCUACUGAUACAUAUCCAAAACACUAUGAAAGCCCAAUAAUUGUUUUAUUUGGUUUUUUUUCAUAAAUAUUAAUUUGUUACUGUUUUUUACCAAAGCAAGUCAGGAGCAUGUUGUUGGCGUUGUCAGUUUGUUUUAGAUUUAUGAGUUUGACUGUCCCUUUGGUAUCUUUCAUCCCUCUUUUAUUCAAUGAUCAUGUUUGUUGGUUUCUGUAUAUAUGUUAUUUCUUUAUGUUUUUAGCAUAAAUCAGGUUGUUGUUUUUCUUUUGAAUUAUUCAAACAAUUCACAGAUAUAACUUUAAUACAACAUUAGAAUUGACAACAGAUAGCACCUUUUCACUUAAAAUUUUUGACAUUCCAGAGUUAAUGUAUUUUGAUCCUUAGAUUCGAUUCAAGUUUUCAAAAAUUGUGCUGCACUAGCUCUAGUGGAACUGACUCCAACAAAACUUUACAUUGUUGUUGGUAUUAAUGAGGAAACUCACAUUGACUUUAGUAUUGUUAGGGUUGAUUUCCUCCAAAUUUUACAUUAUUUUGAUUGAUUUAUUGGAAGUUGUACAAAAAUGUUAGAAAAAGUAAACAUGAUUAAAUGAUUUUCAAUUAUCCCAUUUUAUUCUUGCAACAAAUUUCAAUAUGCACAAUAAGUGCCCCCUAACCCCCUCUUACAUUCUGUAUACGCCUGUCCCAAGUCUUGAGCCUGUAAUUCAGUGGUUGUUGUUUAUUGCUGUAUGUCCUAUUUGUUGUUUGUUUAUUGUUUUGUACAUAAGACAUAAUUACUACAAAUAGUAAUAUAAAGGCUGCUGCUAACCAAAACCAAAAUCUUAGUGGCUAUGAAGCUAUAGUUAGACUUUCUGAUUCAAAUCAAUUCAUGUUGUUUAAUGCAAGAUUUCAAAAACAUGCACUUUUUGUCAUUUUGAGUAACACAACAAUGUACAGCACUGAAUAAUAUUUUGAUUUAAUUGGUAUUGUAAACUUUUGCAAAGGUUAAUAAAGGUACCAGGAUUAAUAAAAUCUUUAAAGGAAGUAUUUUGACUAAGGUUCGUAAAAUAUUUUGAUAUCAGUUCCUGCACAAGUCUGAUUACAUUUGGCAUAUAUACCGUAUACAGUUCUUUUGCCUCAUGGUGAGAAUUCUUAGAUCUGUGCUUUAUGUCUUUUGUGUCUCUAUAAGUUAUUGUUGUGCUUUUUGUUGAUCGGAUGAGUUUAGUCCUUUUGAACUUAUUUUUAUAAUUUGUUCUUAUGUUGUCCUGUUACACCACUGUCCCAGGUUAAGGAUAGACUUGGCAACCUGCAACUGUGGUUAACAAUGUCGAGCAUUGUUGUUUGUUGCAGUAUAUUAUAUUUGUUUUUUGUUUGUUUAUUGUAUAUUGAGUAGUUUCCCUUUUAAAUAGUUUUAAUUUGUCAUCUCAGGCCUUUAAUGGCUUGCUGUGCAGACUGGCCAUUUGUUAAAGGCUUUACGGUUAAGUAUUAUUGCUGAACUUCCACAUCAUUUGGUCGUUGGUGCAGUGUUGACUCAUUGGCAAUAAUACCUCAUCUUAUUAUUACAUGUAGUAAAAUUUGAUGGUUUUGAUUUUUAUCAAUUUUCAGAUCAAUUAAAACUAUAGCAGAAUAUAUUUACAUAUUUAACCCAUUCUUUUAGUAAACAGACAAUAUUAAGUUUUGACUAAUACUAGCAUGCCUUUUGUAAAGUGUGAAUCUGUGGGCAAUAUCAUCCAUUUGGAAUUGCAUGUCUUAUGAUGAAUUGAAUGAAGAAGCUUUUCCUAUGAAUGCACAUAUCUGUUUUUAUAUGGAGUUCAUGGAAUUUGACUGUUUGUACUUCUAUGCCUGUAUAUUUGUACCUUUUCUUAUUUAUUUGAACUAAUCCCCAUUUAAAUGAUUACGAAAAGUAUGAAUUGCUUGCAACAAAACAAAAACCAAAGACAUGAGAAUCAAUACAUUGUAAUAACUCUUUUUAUAUGACCGCAAAAAUUGAAAAUUUUUUGUUCGUAUAUUGGUAUCACGUUGGCGUCGUCUGUGUCGUCGUCAUCGUUGUCCGAAUACUUUUAGUUUUCGCACUCUAACUUUAGUAAAAGUGAAUAGAAAUCUAUGAAAUUUUAACACAAGGUGUAUGACCACAAAAGGAAGGUUGGGAUUGAUUUUGGGAGUUGAGGUUGGAACAGUUUAGGAAUUAUGGCCAAAAAGGGGCCCAAUAAGCAUUUUUUCUGGUUUUCGCCCGUAACUUUAGUAUAAGUAAUAGAAAUCUAUGAAAUUUAAACACAAGGUUUAUGACCAUAAAAGGAAGGUUGGGAUUGAUUUGGGAGUUUUGGUCCCAGUUUAGGAAAAAAGGGGCCCAAAGGGUCCAAAAUUAAACUUUGUUUGAUUUCAUCAAAAAUUGAAUAAUUUGGGUUCUUUAAUAUGCCAAAUUUAAAAAUGUACUUAAUUUUUUUAUUUUUGGCCCAGUUUUCAAGUUGGUCCAAAUCGGGGUCCAAAAUUAAACUUUGUUUGAUUUCAUCAAAAAUUGAAUAAAUGGGGUUCUUUGAUAUGCCAAAUCUAACUGUGUAUGUAGAUUUUUAAUUUUGGUCCCGUUUUCAAAUUGGUCUACAUUAAGGUCCAAAGGGUCCAAAAUUUAACUCAGUUCGAUUUUAACAAAAAUUGAAUCUUUGGGGUUCAUUGAUAUGCUGAAUCUAAAUUUGAACUUAGAUUUUUGAUUAUUGGCCCAGUUUUCAAGUUGGUCCAAAUCAGGGUCCAAAAUUAAACUUUGUUUGAUUUCAUCAAAAAUUGAAUAAAUGGGGUUCUUUGAUAUGCCAAAUCUAACUGAGUAUGUAGAUUCUUAAAUUUUUGGUCCCGUUUUCAAAUUGGUCUACAUUAAAGUCCAAAGGGUCCAAAAUUAAACUAAGUUUGAUUUUAACAAAAAUUGAAUUCUUGGGCUUCUUUGAUAUGCUGAAUUUAAACAUGUACUUAGAUUUUUGAUUAUGGGCCCAGUUUUCAAUUUGGUCCAAAUCAGGAUCCAAAAUUAUUAUAUAUUAAGUAUUGUGCAAUAGCAAGAAAUUUUCAAUUGCACAGUAUUCAGCAAUAGCAAGAAAUCUUCAAUUGCGCAGUAUUGCGCAAUAGCAAGAAAUCUUCAAUUGCACAGUAUUGUGCAACAGCAAGUAUUUUCAAUUGCAGAGUAUUGCGCAAUAGCAAGAAAUAUCUAAUUGCACAAUAUUGCACAAUAACAAGAAAUUUUCAAUUGGAGUUAUCUUUCUUUGUCCAGAAUAGUAGUUGAAUCAACUUAAAUCAUUGUUUUAUACAAUAUUACAAUGAUUAUAUCACUUUUACUACCAACUGAUAAAUUAAAACAAUCUUUACCAUUCAGUGAUAACAAGCACUUUUUUUACAUUUUAAUAUUUUAUGAUGUAUUUAAAUGAGUAGUUAUUGUUUCAAACUCCAUUAGAAAUUUGAAUUGAGAUCAGUUUUGGAAUAAGGGAAAGGGGGAUGUGAAAAAAAAAAUUAGGGGGGGGUUCAAUUUUUUCUCAUUCAGAUUUCAUAAAUAAAAAGAAAAUUUCUUUAAACAUUUUUUUGAGAGGAUUAAUAUUCAACAGCAUAGUGAAUUGCUCAAAGGCAAAACAAAAAUUUUAAGUUCAUUAGACCAAAUUCAUUCUAUGUCAGAAACCUAUGCUGUGUCAACUAUUUAAUCACAAUCCAAAUUUAAAGCUGAAUCAAGCUUGAAUGUUGUGUCCAUACUUGCCCCAACCGUUCAGGGUUCAACCUCUGUGGUCGUAUAAAGCUGCACCCUGCGGAGCAUCUGGUUACUUUGGAAAUGAUAGAAGACAUACUUUGUAGAACAUAAUUUUAUUGAUGGUGAUUUGAUUAUAACAACUUGAAUUUAUGUAUGUAAACCUACGCCAGAGUGAAUCUGUGAUACAUUUAUAUAUUAAAUUGUUAUGUUUGUUUCAUUGAUGAAUUUACAGAAAAUAAAAAAUUAUAUAUUUAACCUUAGUUUUUAAAAAAAAAAAAAUUUUUAACAAAGGGAUUCUUUUAGUUUCCACAAGAGACCAAGUGACAAGAAAUUAUCAACUAUAGGUCACAUAUGGCCUUCAAUAAUGAACAAAUCCCAUACAUAUCAGCUAUAAAAGGUCUAGAAAUGACAAAUGUAAAACAAUUGAAAUGAGAUAACUAACAAUCAAAUAUAUGUAUAAAAAUGAACGAAAAACAAGAAUGUGUCCAUAGUACACGGAUGCCCCACUUCCACUAUCAUUUUCUAUGUUCAGUGGACCAUGAAAUUGGGGUCAAAACUAUAAUUUGGCAUUAAAAUUAGAAAGAUCAUAUCAUGGGGAACAUGUGUAUUAAGUUUCAAGUUGAUUGGACUUCAGCUUCAUCAAAAACUACCUCGACCAAAAGCUUUAACCGGACGGACGGACGAACGGAGGCACAGACCAGAAAACAUAAUGCCCCUCUACUAUCGUAGGUGGGGCAUAACAAAUGCUACACAGCAACAAACAUCAACCACUGAAUAUCAGGCUUCUGACUGUGGGCAGGCACAUACAUAAUGUGGCAGUGUUAAACUAGUUUGUCGCCAUCCCCCCUCUCAAUGGGACAGUGCUGUAUUAUAUGUCUCUGGUACAUCACAAUAAUUCAUUUUACAAAACAAUAAACAUAAAAAGAAUAUGAAAAACAGCCAAAAAAACGACACUCAAAUACUAGCUCCUAAUUUGGGACAGGUACAUAUAGAAUGUGAUUAGAUUAAAGUCGUUUAAUUGACUAAUAUAUUUGGUAUUGUAAUGUUGAUUCCUCCUCAAGAUGGUGUGGUAUAAUUAACACUGCAUUUUGUUUUUUGAACUAUGUGCUGCAAUUGGUCAUCUCAUGUAGAAGUGGUUGGUCUUUGCCCAGUCUUGAAUCAUUGUAUGCCCAGGAUGUCCAUGCCUAUAUUAUUCUGUGUACACCUACAGUGUAAAUCUUAUAAAAGUUCAUCGGAAGAUACAAGAUCUUGUUGAUUAAUAAUCCGUAUAAUUCACGAUGGUCUUGAAUUAUAAACUCGAGGUACUAACGCUGUUAAUCAUCUUAAUUACGUGUUAUAGUAUUUGUAUUUUAAAAUUGUUUUAUAUACUCUUUUUUUAUUUUUGGUUAUAUCCAUUUGACGUGGCUCGGUACUCAUCCAUCCCGUAAUUGUGUUAUUGAGAUAUGGUGAAUUUUUGUAUUCUUGUCUUUCGGCAUGGAUUUUUCUAGCAUUCCACAGGGUCCGGUAUUCGGACCCAUUCCCAACGGCAAAAACCCUUCAUUUUUCCCAUUUUGGCCAGCAAAAUUCCCAAAUGAUCACAAAAUUCAUUUUAAUCUUUAUUAUUCAUGACAGAGAUGUUUAUUUUAUUCAACCGCUAGCUUUAUGUAAAAAAAUCGCCAACAAGUAAUGUGUAAAUCCAAGUUGAAACAUAUUGAAUGAAAACAACAUUGACAAACAAUGGCUGCCAUUAAUAAAUAAACAGGAAGUGUGGGAAUAAACUAAAACCAGUUCAAAUCCGGAAACGGACAAGUAUAUAAUUCCGGGUUUGUCAAUCAAAUACAGUAAAUAAAAAAUGAAAAGAACCAAACAUGUGACAGCUAUCAUAGCAACACUAAAAUUGAAAACUAAAAGAUAUAUAAAAAAAGAAAAUAGAAACAGGAUAUAUUUUAUACAGAACUUAAAAUAUUUUAUUUCACAAAUUUUCAUGUCAAAAUCAAAAAAAUGUAACAAUCCUUUAAGAAGCUGGAACUCAUUAUUUUGAUACUCAAAUAAACUGAAAUGCCAUGUUUUUAUAUUUUAAAAACAAAGAAGGUGUAGUCCUUACUUUAUUUUCACCAACAAAAAAUAAUUUUAUGAACUAAUCCCACUAAAACUAACAUCCGGUAUAUUGGUUGUUUUUCCCAAUUUCAUUGAAAACCGCGUUAAAAAAUUCCCUAAACUGGCCAGGGUCCUUUUCCCCAAAAUACCCAGAUAAACCCCUGUUCGGUUUUACUUAAUAUGUGCUUUGUCUAUAUCAAGGGGGAGAAUCUACGUCAUCACGCAGGGUGUCGGCGAUUGAAAUAGGACAACCAUCUUGUCGUUUCAAGGUAAGAAUUUUACUUAUUAUGCCAGUUAUAUGAGGGUUAUGAUUAUACAAAAUAGUCCACCAAAGACUAUAUAAAGUAGGAAAAUAAAUGAGCCAUCGCUCAAUAUUAUUGGUUAUCUCAAUUUUGCAAACACUUCGAUACAAGUUUUAGGAAUUAGG
Molecule: long non-coding RNA, 8424 nt
Filed under: Mytilus galloprovincialis (Mediterranean mussel)
Lineage: Eukaryota; Metazoa; Mollusca; Bivalvia; Mytilida; Mytilidae
Source: RNAcentral